AGAGUUUGAUCAUGGCUCAGAAUCAACGCUGGCGCGCGCCUAACACAUGCAAGUCGAACGAGAAAGCCGCAAGGUGAGUAAAGUGGCGUACGGGUGAGUAACACGUGGAUCAUCUACCUUUUAGUGGGGAAUACCGAUGGGAAACCGUCGACAAUACCGCAUAAGCUCGAGAGAGGAAAGCAGCAAUGCGCUGAAAGAGG
This 200-nucleotide ribosomal RNA is filed under the name uncultured bacterium. RNAcentral describes it as "partial 16S ribosomal RNA". It matches the Rfam family "Bacterial small subunit ribosomal RNA", at positions 8 to 227 of the family's 1533-position model. The record is from RNAcentral.